GGGGACGAAAGGAUUCGACAGGAAGCUAGGUAGCCGGAUAGCAGGCCGAGGUUGGGUUGUCACCCUCGUUAAUCAGGCGACCCAAAAAUAGUUGGCAAUCGUCAACUCGCUCUCGCUGCCUAAUUAGCGGCGACGUCGGCUAGUUCCCUCGACCUGGUGGGGUUCUAGUUGGCGCUGCAAUGCCAGGGUGCUGCGGUAUCACGCCGAUACAUACCGCCUAAGACUUUCGGCUGGCCGGUUGGCAUGGGGACCACCACUGUAGCCGCCGGCGAGAUCCCAAUCGGUGGGAACGCCUGUAGGACAAUCCGGAGCUGAACUUUGCUGGACCGGGAGUUCGACUCUCCCGCGUCUCCACCA
RNAcentral lists this transfer-messenger RNA (357 nucleotides) under Anaerolinea sp. It matches the Rfam family "transfer-messenger RNA". From Rfam's summary of the family: Bacterial tmRNA, also known as 10Sa RNA or SsrA, is named for its dual tRNA and mRNA-like properties. Its role is to liberate the mRNA from a stalled ribosome. Lineage: Bacteria; Bacillati; Chloroflexota; Anaerolineae; Anaerolineales; Anaerolineaceae. The record is from RNAcentral. RNAcentral also lists the same sequence under 1 other name.